Molecule: non-coding RNA, 99 nt
Filed under: Chryseobacterium piperi
Lineage: Bacteria; Pseudomonadati; Bacteroidota; Flavobacteriia; Flavobacteriales; Weeksellaceae
Description: TPP sequence
Rfam family: TPP riboswitch aptamer (THI element)
About the family: Vitamin B(1) in its active form thiamin pyrophosphate (TPP) is an essential coenzyme that is synthesised by coupling of pyrimidine and thiazole moieties in bacteria. The previously detected thiamin-regulatory element, thi box was extended, resulting in a new, highly conserved RNA secondary structure, the THI element, which is widely distributed in eubacteria and also occurs in some archaea. Analysis of operon structures identified a large number of new candidate thiamin-regulated genes, mostly transporters, in various prokaryotic organisms.
Source: Rfam by way of RNAcentral
CGAGUACUUUAGGGGUGUCUGUUGAUAAAACAGACUGAGAUUUUACCCUUUGAACCUGAUCUGGAUCAUACCAGCGUAGGGAAAAGUGAGAUGACUUUC